Molecule: ribosomal RNA, 256 nt
Filed under: uncultured bacterium
Lineage: Bacteria
Description: partial 16S ribosomal RNA
Rfam family: Bacterial small subunit ribosomal RNA
Source: RNAcentral
UACGGAGGGUGCAAGCGUUAUCCGGAUUUACUGGGUUUAAAGGGUGCGCAGGCGGAUAUGUAAGUCAGUGGUGAAAAUCUCUAGGCUUAACCUGGAAAUUGCCGUUGAUACUAUAUAUCUUGAAUGCUGUGGAGGUAAGCGGAAUAUGUCAUGUAGCGGUGAAAAUGCUUAGAUAUGACAUAGAACACCUAUUGCGAAGGCAGCUUACUACGCAGAUAUUGACGCUCAUGCACGAAAGCGUGGGGAUCAAACAGGA